UGAGGUAGCACAGUGGGUCAGUGUUUCUAGCUGUUAACCAGAAUGUUGGUGGUUCGAGGCCACCCAGGAAAA
This is a non-coding RNA of Podarcis lilfordi (Lilford's wall lizard), 72 nucleotides long. The record is from the annotation of a GenBank genome assembly. Lineage: Eukaryota; Metazoa; Chordata; Lepidosauria; Squamata; Lacertidae.